GCAGUCUUGGCCGAGUGGUUAAGGCGAUACACUAGAAAUCCAUUGGGGUCUCCCCGCACAGGUUCGAAUCCUGACGACUGCG
This 82-nucleotide transfer RNA is filed under the name Ixodes scapularis (black-legged tick). It matches the Rfam family "tRNA". From Rfam's summary of the family: Transfer RNA (tRNA) molecules are approximately 80 nucleotides in length. The record is from Rfam by way of RNAcentral. Lineage: Eukaryota; Metazoa; Arthropoda; Arachnida; Ixodida; Ixodidae.